Molecule: ribosomal RNA, 253 nt
Filed under: uncultured bacterium
Lineage: Bacteria
Description: partial 16S ribosomal RNA
Rfam family: Bacterial small subunit ribosomal RNA
Source: RNAcentral
GACAGAGGGUGCAACCGUUGUUCGGAAUUACUGGGCGUAAAGCGUGUGUAGGCGGCCAUGUAAGUCGGAUGUGAAAGCCCCAGGCUCAACCUGGGAAGUGCACUCGAUACUGCGUGGCUUGAGUAUCGGAGAGGUUGGUGGAAUUCUCGGUGUAGAGGUGAAAUUCGUAGAUAUCGAGAGGAACACCGGUGGCGAAGGCGGCCAACUGGACGAAUACUGACGCUGAGACACGAAAGCGUGGGGAGCAAACAGG